RNAcentral lists this ribosomal RNA (407 nucleotides) under uncultured bacterium. Its description in RNAcentral is "partial 16S ribosomal RNA". It matches the Rfam family "Bacterial small subunit ribosomal RNA", at positions 360 to 776 of the family's 1533-position model. The record is from RNAcentral.
AAUUUUCGGCAAUGGGGGAAACCCUGACCGAGCAACGCCGCGUGAUCGACGAAGUACUUCGGUAUGUAAAGUUCUUUUAUAUGGGAAGAAAAAUUAAAAUUUGACGGUACUAUAUGCAUAAGCCCCGGCUAAAUACGUGCCUGCAACCGCGGUAAGAAAUAGGUGGCGAGCGUUAUCCGGAUUUACUGGGCGUAAAGGGUUCGUAGGUGGUUAUUAAAGUGUGUGGUGUAAGUGCAGUGCUUAACGCUGUGAGGCUAUGAAAACUAUAUAACUAGAGUGAGACAGAGGCAAGUGGAAUUCCAUGUGUAGCGGUAAAAUGCGUAAAUAUAUGGAGGAACACCAGUGGCGAAGGCGGCUUGCUGGGUCUAUACUGACACUGAUGCACGAAAGCGUGGGGAGCAAACAGG